RNAcentral lists this transfer RNA (69 nucleotides) under Rattus norvegicus (Norway rat). It matches the Rfam family "tRNA". From Rfam's summary of the family: Transfer RNA (tRNA) molecules are approximately 80 nucleotides in length. Their secondary structure includes four short double-helical elements and three loops (D, anti-codon, and T loops). Lineage: Eukaryota; Metazoa; Chordata; Mammalia; Rodentia; Muridae. The record is from Rfam by way of RNAcentral.
GGGGAUUUAGCUCAGCGGUAGAGUGCUUGCCUAGCAAGCACAAGGCUCUGGGUUCGGUCCCCAGCUCCG